Archocentrus centrarchus (flier cichlid) is the source of this 768-nucleotide long non-coding RNA. RefSeq lists it as uncharacterized. The transcript has 3 exons. The record is from RefSeq and is a predicted model, not a curated record. NCBI's taxonomy places the organism in Eukaryota, Metazoa, Chordata, Actinopteri, Cichliformes, Cichlidae.
CCCAGGUGGAGCCACCCGUUCCCCCUCCACGUCGAAGUGAGAGAGAGACUGCAGGGAGACAUAGAAAUAUGUUUCACCUACCCAGAUCAGCAUGUAAUUCUGUGUCCUUUAGCCCAGAUGUGUUCUCUCAGAUACUAGCAGGGGUGGCCCUUUAUACAUCCAACCUUAGAGAAGGGAUGGAGGAGUAGGAAGUCACCGAGGACGUUGACUUUUAGCAGGGGAGAAUGUAGCCAGGUGAAAUUGGAAGCGAUUAAAUAGAGGGUUAAACAGCCCCACCUGGUGGAGCAUUGUUGUCAUUCUCACUGAAGCUGGUUAGUCUCGCGAGAAUGCGGAAAUCCCGCGAGAUUUCAGAUCGAGGCUAGAGGCCAGACUAAUGUCCCGUACGCCAUCAGAUCGCCGCAAAGCUGCUUGAGAAACCGAUUGUUUGCCGCACGGUGUGGAAAAGCCAGAGCAGUGGAGCAGCAGGGGAGAAAUCCAGUGAUAGGCUGAGGUGGUGUGUUAUAGCACAGGCUGACCACUGGAGUCAGAAAAAGUGAGGCCACUGCUGUUGUCUGUAGGGAAUUUGAUUUGUACACAGUAGGAAAGCUUAGGCCUCCAUUUUGUUUUCAAUCUACAGCCGUUGAUCUGUUCUGUGUCCAUGAGCGGUGUUGAGGCUGGAGGAGGCAGGGGCACAGUGUAUUGUUAAAGUUGAGACAUUUGUUAAUUAACCUCAAAACAAAGAAUUAACGCUGUUCUUAUUCUUUAUUAUGAGUUCAGUCGGGGAAUAAA